GUCUCUUCGGGGAUAUUUGAUAAAAUUGGAACGAAACAGAGAAGAUUAGCAUGGGCCCUGCGCAAGAAUGAUACGCACAAAAAAAAAGUUAUUCAGUAAUCA
This 102-nucleotide small nuclear RNA is filed under the name Ipomoea nil (Japanese morning glory). The record is from RNAcentral. Lineage: Eukaryota; Viridiplantae; Streptophyta; Magnoliopsida; Solanales; Convolvulaceae.